Rhagoletis zephyria (snowberry fruit fly) is the source of this 1112-nucleotide long non-coding RNA. RefSeq lists it as uncharacterized. The record is from RefSeq and is a predicted model, not a curated record. Lineage: Eukaryota; Metazoa; Arthropoda; Insecta; Diptera; Tephritidae.
UUUUAUGUAUAUCCGAUAAAGAAACUAUAAAUAAAACUAUUCCAAGGGUGUUUUGCUGUUUUGUGUGCCCGUGCAUUCCAUCAACUUGAUCGGCUGCCUCUUGCCAACAUUGUUUGAAUUACUGCAAAACCAUCGCUGCACUCGUUUUCACUUGCUUUGGUUCGCUGCCUAUGUACAUCUUGGUGCCAGCUGCGGACUGUGGACCAACUUUUCGUGGCCGUGUAACUCUCGCAUCGUCACAGUGUGUCAUCCGCUUCUCUGUCUGUGGGACCACUGCAUCGUAGGUUUCUUCUGCUGCUCCACACGUUUUCGACUGCUUCGUGUUCCUUUGUUCAUCUGGCUUGUACAUUUCUGUCGCUGCACUAUCAGCUUACCAUAAUCUACUUUAGAGCCAUCUUUGCACCACCGGCGUAUUUUCGACUACUAUUUCGCAAAGCGGCCUUUUUUCUUCCCUUUUCUCUCGUGCUUCGUAUGCUUCCAAAAUACAACCUUGAGCUAAGGGAGUCGUCGAAACGAGCUGUUACUACGUAUAUCACCUUUAAUUAUUGCGUCAUGGUUAUACACUGUGAUGUCACGAUCAGCAACAAUUGCAUCAAAAUAAGUAAAAGCCACCGCAGAGGCUUUUUAUUCAACUAAUCGCCCGUAAAUCGUUGACUAAAAUGGAGCAACAGUAGUUACGCAAAUUCCAGGAAAUGUCCACAAAACACCGCAUUAAUCAACUUAAGAAAAACAGAAGCAACAAAUUUUAAAACAAGUACUGGAUCAAAACAAUUGGGGCUCCAAACACCAUCCGAACUUGCAAAAUGCACGAAAACCUAUUGAUGAGUUCAUUGGCGAAGUCUAUAACUCAACGGUUGGGCAACAACCUGCAAAAACACCCAAAUAUGUUGGCGAGUUUGGCGAUGCUUGCGAGAAAAAACAGCAACUUGUUUCAACAAAACCAUUUAGUAUAAUAAGGACUUAUCGUUCAUUUUUGGCAAUUUUUUGUUCUCGCAUUUUCUACCAUACGAAGUAUGCUCCAAAACUUUUUUGUAUGGAUAAAAUCAGCAACACCUUCCACAAAAAAGUUGACAAAAAUCAAUGGUAACUACUAGCUACUUAAAAUUUGCUCC